This is a small nucleolar RNA of Lonchura striata (white-rumped munia), 71 nucleotides long. The record is from Ensembl. Lineage: Eukaryota; Metazoa; Chordata; Aves; Passeriformes; Estrildidae.
CUGAGCCUGUGAUGUGCUGUUAUCCCUGUCUGACACUCAGCUUGAGGAGGAAAAUGUCCACUGAGGCUCAG